This 527-nucleotide ribosomal RNA is filed under the name Chryseobacterium defluvii. RNAcentral's name for it is "bacterial SSU rRNA". It matches the Rfam family "Bacterial small subunit ribosomal RNA", at positions 952 to 1490 of the family's 1533-position model. Lineage: Bacteria; Pseudomonadati; Bacteroidota; Flavobacteriia; Flavobacteriales; Weeksellaceae. The record is from RNAcentral.
CGAUGAUACGCGAGGAACCUUACCAAGGCUUAAAUGGGAAUUGAUCGGUUUAGAAAUAGACCUUCCUUCGGGCAAUUUUCAAGGUGCUGCAUGGUUGUCGUCAGCUCGUGCCGUGAGGUGUUAGGUUAAGUCCUGCAACGAGCGCAACCCCUGUCACUAGUUGCUAGCAUUAAGUUGAGGACUCUAGUGAGACUGCCUACGCAAGUAGAGAGGAAGGUGGGGAUGACGUCAAAUCAUCACGGCCCUUACGCCUUGGGCCACACACGUAAUACAAUGGCCGGUACAGAGGGCAGCUACACAGCGAUGUGAUGCAAAUCUCGAAAGCCGGUCUCAGUUCGGAUUGGAGUCUGCAACUCGACUCUAUGAAGCUGGAAUCGCUAGUAAUCGCGCAUCAGCCAUGGCGCGGUGAAUACGUUCCCGGGCCUUGUACACACCGCCCGUCAAGCCAUGGAAGUCUGGGGUACCUGAAGUCGGUGACCGUAAAAGGAGCUGCCUAGGGUAAAACAGGUAACUAGGGCUAAGUCGUA